This 240-nucleotide ribosomal RNA is filed under the name uncultured bacterium. RNAcentral's name for it is "partial 16S ribosomal RNA". It matches the Rfam family "Bacterial small subunit ribosomal RNA", at positions 15 to 236 of the family's 1533-position model. The record is from RNAcentral.
GAUCAUGGCUCAGGAUGAACGCUGGUGGCGUGCCUAACACAUGCAAGUCGAACGGAACUAUUUUGGAAACUCCUUCGGGAGCGGAAUCUUUAGUUUAGUGGCGGACGGGUGAGUAACGCGUGAGCAAUCUGCCUUUAAGAGGGGGAUAACAGUCGGAAACGGCUGCUAAUACCGCAUAAAGCAUCAAAUUCGCAUGUUUUUGAUGCCAAAGGAGCAAUCCGCUUUUAGAUGGGCUCGCGU